This 371-nucleotide ribosomal RNA is filed under the name uncultured bacterium. Its description in RNAcentral is "bacterial SSU rRNA". It matches the Rfam family "Bacterial small subunit ribosomal RNA", at positions 527 to 896 of the family's 1533-position model. The record is from RNAcentral.
GUAGGGGGCAAGCGUUGUCCGGAUUUAUUGGGCGUAAAGAGCGUGUAGGCGGCUUCACAAGUCCGCUGUGAAAACUCGAGGCUCAACCUCGAGCUGUCGGUGGAAACUGUGAGGCUAGAGUCCGGAAGAGGAGAGUGGAAUUCCCGGUGUAGCGGUGAAAUGCGCAGAUAUCGGGAAGAACACCCGUGGCGAAGGCGGCUCUCUGGGACGGUACUGACGCUGAGACGCGAAAGCGUGGGGAGCGAACAGGAUUAGAUACCCUGGUAGUCCACGCCGUAAACGAUGGGUGCUAGGUGUGGGGGGUGUCGACUCCCUCCGUGCCGAAGCUAACGCAUUAAGCACCCCGCCUGGGGAGUACGGCCGCAAGGCUA